Molecule: long non-coding RNA, 205 nt
Filed under: Brassica napus (rape)
Lineage: Eukaryota; Viridiplantae; Streptophyta; Magnoliopsida; Brassicales; Brassicaceae
Description: long non-coding RNA (BNAP_LNC019803)
Source: RNAcentral
GGGAAGGUGAAUCUUUUUCUUCUUAGAUUUGUAUGAUUGUUGAUGAAAUUUUCUAUGUGGGAUUUCUGGGAGUAUUUUGUGAUCGAAUUUUUUUUUUCUCUUUUUGGGUAUCUCUCUCUCCUUUACAACACAGAGACUGUGUCCUUUAAGUUUGAGAGAGGUACCAAGUAUUUGAACAUGUUUGCUUUGAUGUUGUUUCAUUGAG